AUUGAACGCUGGCGGCAGGCCUAACACAUGCAAGUCGAACGGUAACAGGAAGAAGCUUGCUUCUUUGCUGACGCGUGGCGGACGGGUGAGUCAUGUCUGGGAAACUGCCUGAUGGCGGGGGAUAACUACUGGAAACGGUAGCUAAUACCGCAUAACGUCGCAAGACCAAAGAGGGGGACCUUCGGGCCUCUUGCCAUCGGAUGUGCCCAGAUGGGAUUAGCUAGUAGGUGGGGUAACGGCUCACCUAGGCGACGAUCCCUAGCUGGUCUGAGAGGGUGACCGGCCACACUGGAACUGAGACACGGUCCAGACUCCUACGGGAAGCAGCAGUAGGGAAUAUUGCGCAAUGGGCGCAAGCCUGAUGGAGCCAUGCCGCGUGUAUGAAGAAGGCCUUCGGGUUGUAAAGUACUUUCAGCGGGGAGGAAGGGAGUAAAGUUAAUACCUGUGCUCAUUGACGUUACCCGCAGAAGAAGCACCGGCUAACUCCGUG
Molecule: ribosomal RNA, 490 nt
Filed under: uncultured bacterium
Lineage: Bacteria
Description: partial 16S ribosomal RNA
Rfam family: Bacterial small subunit ribosomal RNA
Source: RNAcentral